UACGGAGGAUGCAAGCGUUAUCCGGAUUUAUUGGGUUUAAAGGGUGCGCAGGCUGUUCGUUAAGUCAGCGGUGAAAUGUCCCGGCUCAACCGGGGCCCUGCCGUUGAUACUGGCGGACUGGAGUACGGACGGCGCCGGCGGAAUGUGUCAUGUAGCGGUGAAAUGCUUAGAUAUGCCACAGAACACCGAUCGCGAAGGCAGCUGGCGAGGCCGGUACUGACGCUCAGGCACGAAAGCGUGGGGAU
RNAcentral lists this ribosomal RNA (245 nucleotides) under uncultured Bacteroidota bacterium. Its description in RNAcentral is "uncultured Bacteroidetes bacterium partial 16S ribosomal RNA". It matches the Rfam family "Bacterial small subunit ribosomal RNA", at positions 524 to 768 of the family's 1533-position model. Lineage: Bacteria; Pseudomonadati; Bacteroidota. The record is from RNAcentral.